GGUGGUGAAUGUGACGGCCUGGACCUCCAUCGUGCGGCUGCUCGCCACCUGCGCGGGGAAAACGCCCCAGACGGCGGCGAAGAUCAACACUUACAGUGAGGACGGCGACCCGGGCCGGGCCGGGCGGGCGGGCGGGGGAGGGCAGCGCCGGCUGGCCGCCGCUAGGGGGCGCGCGCGGGCCCGUCUCAGGGGCUCCCCUCUCGCCUUAGAGCGGCCACGCAGCGUGAUCCUGGAGCCGCAGGCCCUCGUGGGCGGCCGCUACACCCUGCGCUGCUAUGUGACACACCUGUUCCCCGUGGGCUUGCUGGUGCUGACCCUGCGACGUGGCGGCCGGAUCAUGUAUUUUGAACGCCUGGAGCGCUUCAAAAGCCUAGAUCUGGCCAACGUGACCCUGACCCACACGUUUCACGCCAGGCCCAGAGACCUCUGGCAGCCCAUGACCUGCCACGCGCGCCUCAAUCUCAGCGGCCUGGUGGUGUACAGCAGCUCGGCACCUGUCAUCCUGACAGCCCUGGAUUGGAGCCCUGAGUCCAAAGCCUUGGCCUACACAUCCAUUGCGGCCUUCGUGGGGAUCCUUCUAGCACUGGGGGUCACCUUCCUGAACAGAUGCCUAGCAACGCGACAUACAGGGAAGUGCUCUGCCGGCUGAGAGCAAGGGAAAAAAAAUCUGGAACAAUUUGCAAUUCGGAAAACUGCUCAGACCAAUAAAGAUUCC
RNAcentral lists this long non-coding RNA (715 nucleotides) under Cavia porcellus (domestic guinea pig). RNAcentral describes it as "lncRNA (ENSCPOG00000021764.2)". Lineage: Eukaryota; Metazoa; Chordata; Mammalia; Rodentia; Caviidae. The record is from RNAcentral.